AUGGCACAGGUGUCCCCUUUACCUGGCACAGGUGUCCCCUUCCAUGGCACAGGUGUCCUCUUUACCUGGCACAGGUGUCCCCUUUAUCAUGGCACAGGUGUCCUCUUUACCUGGCACAGGUGUCUCCUCAUCAUGGCACAGGUGUCCCCUUUACCUGGCACAGGUGUCCCCUUUAUCAUGGCACAGGUGUCCUCUUUACCUGGCACAGGUGUCCCCUCAUCAUGGCACAGGUGUCCCCUUCCAUGGCACAGGUGUCCUCUUUACCUGUCACAAGUGUCCCCUUUACCUGGCACGGGUGUCCCCUUUAUUGUGUCACACGUGACCCUUUUGUCCCGUCACAGUUGUCCCUUUAUCCUGGCACAGUUGUCCCCCUUGCCUGGGCAGAGGUGCCCCCCUUUACCUGGCACAGGUGUCCGUGGCACAUGUGACCUUCUUUUCCUGGCACAGUCAUCCCUCUUGUCCCAGCACAGGUGUCCCCUUGUGCCAGUUUCCCCUCUUUACCUGACACAGGUGUCCCCUUAUCCCAGGUGUCCUCCUUACCCCAUCACAGGUAUCCUCUUGUCCCAGCACAGGUGUCCCCAUUACCCCAUCACAAUGUCCCCUUUACCUGGCACAGGUGUCCCCAUUACCCCAUCACAAUGUCCCCUUCACCUGACACAGGUGUCCCUCUUUACCUGGCACAGGUGUCCCUUCAUCCUGGCGCAGCUGCCCUUCUUUACCUGGCACAGGUGUCCCCUUUACCUGGCACAGGUGCCCCUUGCCAGUCCCAGGAGGGGAAUCCACGCUCUGGCUGCUGCAGGAUCUGGGCCUCCCAUUUCCAGCCCGGCAGAAUUCCCAGCCCCUCCUUUAUUAAAUGUAAUAAAUAAAUAAAAAUGUAAAUUAAAA
This is a long non-coding RNA of Ficedula albicollis (Collared flycatcher), 885 nucleotides long. The record is from Ensembl. NCBI's taxonomy places the organism in Eukaryota, Metazoa, Chordata, Aves, Passeriformes, Muscicapidae.